This 117-nucleotide ribosomal RNA is filed under the name Aotus nancymaae (Ma's night monkey). The record is from RNAcentral. Lineage: Eukaryota; Metazoa; Chordata; Mammalia; Primates; Aotidae.
GUCUAUGACCAUACCACCCUGAAUGUGCUUGAUCUCAUCUGAUCUCAUGAAGCUAAGCAGGGUGGGGCCUGGUUAGUACUUGGAUGGGAGACUGUCACAAAUAAGGUGCUGAUGGCU